RNAcentral lists this ribosomal RNA (254 nucleotides) under uncultured bacterium. Its description in RNAcentral is "partial 16S ribosomal RNA". It matches the Rfam family "Bacterial small subunit ribosomal RNA", at positions 524 to 776 of the family's 1533-position model. The record is from RNAcentral.
UACGGGGGGAGCAAGCGUUGUUCGGAAUUACUGGGCGUAAAGGGCGCGUAGGCGGCCUCCGCAAGUCAGUUGUGAAAUCUCCGAGCUUAACUCGGAAAGGUCAACUGAUACUGCGGGGCUAGAGUGCGGAAGGGGCAACUGGAAUUCUUGGUGUAGCGGUGAAAUGCGUAGAUAUCAAGAGGAACACCUGCGGCGAAGGCGGGUUGCUGGGCCGACACUGACGCUGAGGCGCGAAAGCUAGGGGAGCGAACAGG